Molecule: ribosomal RNA, 665 nt
Filed under: Saccharospirillum sp.
Lineage: Bacteria; Pseudomonadati; Pseudomonadota; Gammaproteobacteria; Oceanospirillales; Saccharospirillaceae
Description: bacterial SSU rRNA
Rfam family: Bacterial small subunit ribosomal RNA
Source: RNAcentral
GGCUCAGAUUGAACGCUGGCGGCAGGCCUAACACAUGCAAGUCGAGCGGUAACAGGACUAGCUUGCUAGUUGCUGACGAGCGGCGGACGGGUGAGUAACGCGUAGGAAUCUGCCCGGUAGUUGGGGAUAGCCCGGAGAAAUCCGGAUUAAUACCGAAUAAUCUCUACGGAGGAAAGGGGGCUUUGGCUCUCGCUACUGGAUGAGCCUGCGUGAGAUUAGCUAGUUGGUGGGGUAAAGGCUCACCAAGGCGACGAUCUCUAGCUGGUCUGAGAGGAUGAUCAGCCACACUGGGACUGAGACACGGCCCAGACUCCUACGGGAGGCAGCAGUGGGGAAUAUUGGACAAUGGGGGCAACCCUGAUCCAGCCAUGCCGCGUGUGUGAAGAAGGCUUUCGGGUUGUAAAGCACUUUCAGACAGGAGGAAGGGGUUUCGGUUAAUACCCGAGAUCAUUGACGUUACUGUCAGAAGAAGCACCGGCUAACUCCGUGCCAGCAGCCGCGGUAAUACGGAGGGUGCGAGCGUUAAUCGGAAUUACUGGGCGUAAAGCGCGCGUAGGCGGCAAGUUAAGUUGGAUGUGAAAGCCCCGGGCUCAACCUGGGAAUUGCAUUCAAAACUGGCUCGCUUGAGUACGGCAGAGGAGUGUGGAAUUUCCGGUGUAGCGGUG